GACGAACGCUGGCGGCGUGCUUAACACAUGCAAGUCGAACGAUGAAGAAAAGAAUCGAAGCUUCGGCAGAAAUUCAUUUCGGAUUAGUGGCAGACGGGUGAGUAACGCGUGAGUAACCAACCUCUUACAAAGGGAUAGCCUCGGGAAACCGGGAUUAAUACCACAUAACAUUGUGACGAAGCAUUUCGAUGCAAUCAAAGCUACGGCGGUAAGACAUGGUCUCGCGUCCCAUUAACCGGCUGGGAAGGUAACGGCACACUAUAGUGACGAUGGCUAACCGGCCAAAGAGAGGUGACUCACACACUAAAACUGAGACGCCGACCAGACUCCUACGGGAGGCAGCAGUGUGCAAUAUUGCACCAUGGAGGGAACUCUGAAGCGGCGACGCCGCGAGAAAGAUGAAGGAAUUAGAUUCGUAAAACUUUGUUCAAUAUAAAGAGAAUGACUGUACCAUAGGAGAAAGCUCCGGCUAAAUACGUG
RNAcentral lists this ribosomal RNA (480 nucleotides) under uncultured bacterium. RNAcentral's name for it is "partial 16S ribosomal RNA". It matches the Rfam family "Bacterial small subunit ribosomal RNA", at positions 28 to 507 of the family's 1533-position model. The record is from RNAcentral.